AACGAACGCUGGCGGCAUGCCUAACACAUGCAAGUCGAACGAGACCUUCGGGUCUAGUGGCGCACGGGUGCGUAACGCGUGGGAACCUGCCCUUAGGUUCGGAAUAACUCCCCGAAAGGGGUGCUAAUACCGGAUAAUGUCUUCGGACCAAAGAUUUAUCGCCUUUGGAUGGGCCCGCGUUGGAUUAGCUAGUUGGUAGGGUAAAAGCCUACCAAGGCGACGAUCCAUAGCUGGUCUGAGAGGAUGACCAGCCACACUGGGACUGGGACCCGGCCCAGACUCCACGGGGAGGCGGCGUGGGGAAUAUUGGACAAUGGGCGAAAGCCUGAUCCAGCAAUGCCGCGUGAGUGAUGAAGGCCUUAGGGUUGUAAAGCUCUUUUACCCGGGAUGAUAAUGACAGUACCGGGAGAAUAAGCUCCGGCUAACUCCGUG
Molecule: ribosomal RNA, 432 nt
Filed under: uncultured bacterium
Lineage: Bacteria
Description: partial 16S ribosomal RNA
Rfam family: Bacterial small subunit ribosomal RNA
Source: RNAcentral